CCUACGGGGCGCAGCAGUGGGGAAUAUUGGGCAAUGGGCGCAAGCCUGACCCAGCAAUGCCGCGUGAAGGAAGAAGGCUUUCGGGUUGUAAACUUCUUUGACAGGGGAAGAGUAGAAGACGGUACCUGACGAAUAAGCCACGGCUAACUACGUGCCAGCAGCCGCGGUAAUACGUAGGUGGCAAGCGUUGUCCGGAUUUACUGGGUGUAAAGGGCGUGUAGCCGGGUUGACAAGUCAGAUGUGAAAUCCUGCGGCUUAACCGCAGAACUGCAUUUGAAACUGUUGAUCUUGAGUACUGGAGAGGCAGACGGAAUUCCUAGUGUAGCGGUGAAAUGCGUAGAUAUUAGGAGGAACACCAGUGGCGAAGGCGGUCUGCUGGACAGCAACUGACGGUGAGGCGCGAAAGCGUGGGGAGCAAACAGGAUUAGAUACCCGAGUAGUC
This 442-nucleotide ribosomal RNA is filed under the name uncultured bacterium. Its description in RNAcentral is "partial 16S ribosomal RNA". It matches the Rfam family "Bacterial small subunit ribosomal RNA", at positions 338 to 795 of the family's 1533-position model. The record is from RNAcentral.